RNAcentral lists this ribosomal RNA (533 nucleotides) under Bifidobacterium pseudocatenulatum. RNAcentral's name for it is "bacterial SSU rRNA". It matches the Rfam family "Bacterial small subunit ribosomal RNA", at positions 164 to 708 of the family's 1533-position model. Lineage: Bacteria; Bacillati; Actinomycetota; Actinomycetes; Bifidobacteriales; Bifidobacteriaceae. The record is from RNAcentral.
UAAUGCCGGAUGCUCCGACUCCUCGCAUGGGGUGUCGGGAAAGAUUUCAUCGGUAUGGGAUGGGGUCGCGUCCUAUCAGGUAGUCGGCGGGGUAACGGCCCACCGAGCCUACGACGGGUAGCCGGCCUGAGAGGGCGACCGGCCACAUUGGGACUGAGAUACGGCCCAGACUCCUACGGGAGGCAGCAGUGGGGAAUAUUGCACAAUGGGCGCAAGCCUGAUGCAGCGACGCCGCGUGCGGGAUGACGGCCUUCGGGUUGUAAACCGCUUUUGAUCGGGAGCAAGCCUUCGGGUGAGUGUACCUUUCGAAUAAGCACCGGCUAACUACGUGCCAGCAGCCGCGGUAAUACGUAGGGUGCAAGCGUUAUCCGGAAUUAUUGGGCGUAAAGGGCUCGUAGGCGGUUCGUCGCGUCCGGUGUGAAAGUCCAUCGCUUAACGGUGGAUCUGCGCCGGGUACGGGCGGGCUGGAGUGCGGUAGGGGAGACUGGAAUUCCCGGUGUAACGGUGGAAUGUGUAGAUAUCGAGAGAAAACA